AAAGGUAGCAUAAUCAUUUGUCUUUUAAAUGAAGACUGGAAUGAACGGUUUGACGUAGUCCGACUGUCUCUUUUCUAUUAACUAGAAUUUAAUUUUUAGGUGAAGAGUCCUGAGUGAAAUCGAAAGACGAAAAGACCCUGUCGAACUUGAAAGUGUUUUUAGAAUAUAUUGUCUAGUAGGGUAAGAGUUUUCUGAAAUUCUUUUUUGUUGGGGUGACAUAAGAACAUGGAAAGCUUCUUAGAGUUAGUUAAAACUAAUAGGUUGGUGAAAUCCAUAAAGAAUAUUAUGAAUUAAGCUAAGUUACCGCAGGGAUAACAGCGUUAUUUUUUUGGAGAGUUCAAAUUGAAGAAAAAGAUUGCGACCUCGAUGUUGGAUUGGAAGUCCCGACUGGCGAAGAAGCUUGUUUAAUGGGGGGUCUGUUCGACCUUUAAAUUUCCACAU
Molecule: ribosomal RNA, 441 nt
Filed under: Acanthopleura brevispinosa
Lineage: Eukaryota; Metazoa; Mollusca; Polyplacophora; Chitonida; Chitonidae
Description: partial 16S ribosomal RNA
Rfam family: Bacterial large subunit ribosomal RNA
Source: RNAcentral